RNAcentral lists this long non-coding RNA (213 nucleotides) under Elaeis guineensis (African oil palm). Its description in RNAcentral is "long non-coding RNA (EGUI_LNC051303)". The record is from RNAcentral. Lineage: Eukaryota; Viridiplantae; Streptophyta; Magnoliopsida; Arecales; Arecaceae.
GGUCCGAGCGAUUUGAAUGCGGGAGCUCACAGUGGUUUAAAUUGAUGCGCGGUUCGAGCAAGGACAAGCGAGCAGACACCUGGGUCUUCACAACGCGGCGUGGUUUAAAUGAGCGCAAACGGACCUGUGGCACGGUGCAAUAGAACCAAGAAGGUCUGAUACGCAGACAUGGAAAUAACGCGAGACGUCGCGUGAUACACAAAGUAGAGAUCG